Molecule: ribosomal RNA, 716 nt
Filed under: Aeneolamia contigua
Lineage: Eukaryota; Metazoa; Arthropoda; Insecta; Hemiptera; Cercopidae
Description: SSU rRNA
Rfam family: Eukaryotic small subunit ribosomal RNA
Source: RNAcentral
UUCGCCGCCCGUCGGUGUCAACUGGCAUGUCCUGUGGAACGUCCUGCCGGUGGCGGACCGGGCUUUCGGCUUGCGUAAGGGCUUACGCUCGAAGCAGGCCGAACAGUACCGGCCGCCGGUCCAAUCCCGCCACGGUGCUCUUCACCGAGUGUCGAGGUGGGCCGGCACGUUUACUUUGAACAAAUUAGAGUGCUUAAAGCAGGCUGGUGUCCGCCUGAAUACUGUGUGCAUGGAAUAAUAGAAUAGGACCUCGGUUCUAUUUUGUUGGUUUUCGGAACCCGAGGUAAUGAUUAAUAGGGACAGGCGGGGGCAUUCGUAUUGCGACGUUAGAGGUGAAAUUCUUGGAUCGUCGCAAGACGAACCUAAGCGAAAGCAUUUGCCAAGUAUGUUCUCGUUAAUCAAGAACGAAAGUUAGAGGUUCGAAGGCGAUCAGAUACCGCCCUAGUUCUAACCAUAAACGAUGCCAGCCAGCGAUCCGCCGAAGUUCCUCCGAUGACUCGGCGGGCAGCUUCCGGGAAACCAAAGCUUUUGGGUUCCGGGGGAAGUAUGGUUGCAAAGCUGAAACUUAAAGGAAUUGACGGAAGGGCACCACCAGGAGUGGAGCCUGCGGCUUAAUUUGACUCAACACGGGAAACCUCACCAGGCCCGGACACCGGAAGGAUUGACAGAUUGAGAGCUCUUUCUUGAUUCGGUGGGUGGGUGGUGGCAUGGCCGUU